This 242-nucleotide long non-coding RNA is filed under the name Setaria italica (foxtail millet). Its description in RNAcentral is "long non-coding RNA (SITA_LNC005533)". Lineage: Eukaryota; Viridiplantae; Streptophyta; Magnoliopsida; Poales; Poaceae. The record is from RNAcentral.
GGCCAGGUCAACUCCGCCAUCGGCCAGUGCCUCCCUUACGCCCGCGGCCAGGGCUCCAAACCCUCCGACGCCUGCUGCAGCGGCGUCAAGAGACUCAACUCCGCCGCCACGACCACCGCCGACAGGCGCGCCGCAUGCAACUGCCUCAAGAACGCCGCCAGGGGGAUCAGCGGCCUCAACGCCGGCAACGCCGCCAGCAUCCCAUCCAAGUGCGGCGUCAGCAUCCCCUACUCCAUCAGCAC